AUUGAACGCUGGCGGCAGGCCUAACACAUGCGAGUCGAGCGGAUGAAGGGAGCUUGCUCCUGGAUUCAGCGGCGGACGGGUGAGUAAUGCCUAGGAAUCUGCCUGGUAGUGGGGGAUAACGUCCGGAAACGGGCGCUAAUACCGCAUACGUCCUGAGGGAGAAAGUGGGGGAUCUUCGGACCUCACGCUAUCAGAUGAGCCUAGGUCGGAUUAGCUAGUUGGUGGGGUAAAGGCCUACCAAGGCGACGAUCCGUAACUGGUCUGAGAGGAUGAUCAGUCACACUGGAACUGAGACACGGUCCAGACUCCUACGGGAGGCAGCAGUGGGGAAUAUUGGACAAUGGGCGAAAGCCUGAUCCAGCCAUGCCGCGUGUGUGAAGAAGGUCUUCGGAUUGUAAAGCACUUUAAGUUGGGAGGAAGGGCAGUAAGUUAAUACCUUGCUGUUUCGACGUUACCAACAGAAUAAGCACCGGCUAACUUCGUG
This 484-nucleotide ribosomal RNA is filed under the name uncultured bacterium. Its description in RNAcentral is "partial 16S ribosomal RNA". It matches the Rfam family "Bacterial small subunit ribosomal RNA", at positions 30 to 507 of the family's 1533-position model. The record is from RNAcentral.